Acanthosepion pharaonis is the source of this 114-nucleotide non-coding RNA. The record is from the annotation of a GenBank genome assembly. Lineage: Eukaryota; Metazoa; Mollusca; Cephalopoda; Sepiida; Sepiidae.
UUACGGUCAUAUCCCGUUGACACACCGAUUUCCGUACGAUCUGCGAAGUUAAGCAACGUCUAGCCUGGUUAGUACCUAGAUGAGCGACAACUAUGGAAUACCAGAUGCUGCUAG